UCCAGGCGGGCACUUCACGCGUUAGCUUCGUUACUGAGUCAGUGAAGACCCAACAACCAGUUGACAUCGUUUAGGGCGUGGACUACCAGGGUAUCUAAUCCGUGUUUGCUCCCCACGCUUUCGUGCAUGAGCGUCAGUACAGGCCCAGGGGAUUGCCUUCGCCAUCGGUGUUCCUCCGCAUAUCUACGCAUUUCACUGCUACACGCGGAAUUCCAUCCCCCUCUGCCGUACUCUAGCUAUACAGUCACAAAUGCAGUUCCCAGGUUGAGCCCGGGGAUUUCACAUCUGUCUUAUAUAACCGCCUGCGCACGCUUUACGCCCAGUAAUUCCGAUAAACGCUUGCACCCUACAUAUUACCGCGGCUGCUGGCACGUAGUUAGCCGGUGCUUAUUCUUACGGUACCGUCAUGGACCCCAGGUAUUAACCAGAGUCUUUUCUUUCCGUACAAAAGCAGUUUACAACCCGAAGGCCUUCAUCCUGCACGCGGGAUGGCUGGAUCAGGCUUUCGCCCAUUGUCCAAAAUUCCCCACUGCUGCCUCCCGUA
This 544-nucleotide ribosomal RNA is filed under the name uncultured beta proteobacterium. Its description in RNAcentral is "partial 16S ribosomal RNA". Lineage: Bacteria; Pseudomonadati; Pseudomonadota; Betaproteobacteria. The record is from RNAcentral.